AUGCUCGCUUCGGUAGCACAUACACUAAACGUGGAACGACAGAGAAGAUUAGCUUGGCCCCUGCACAAGGAUGACACGCAAAUUUGUGAAGCGUUCCAUAUUUUU
Small nuclear RNA from Dipodomys ordii (Ord's kangaroo rat), 105 nucleotides. NCBI's taxonomy places the organism in Eukaryota, Metazoa, Chordata, Mammalia, Rodentia, Heteromyidae. The record is from Ensembl.